This is a long non-coding RNA of Molossus molossus (Pallas's mastiff bat), 1710 nucleotides long. RefSeq lists it as uncharacterized. The record is from RefSeq and is a predicted model, not a curated record. NCBI's taxonomy places the organism in Eukaryota, Metazoa, Chordata, Mammalia, Chiroptera, Molossidae. The transcript has 12 exons.
GCAAGGGGGCAGCAGGCCCGGGCAGGGCUGGGACAAGUGGCAGGAACUGCCGUGGUCACAGCUGAAUCCGAGCAGAGCCGGGAUCUAGGCAUUGGAGGCAGGUGACGUGGUGCCCGAUGCCCCCACGGUGCCGCCUCACGUAGUACAAGCGACUCUGAAGCAGGAAUCGCCCGCGGCAGGAGACCAAAGAAGAGUUUCUGGCUGUCCGCUGCGUGGCCCCUCUGGGGAGGUGGCGAUCCUGAGCGCUUGCGAUUUGCAGAAUCCCGUCACACCUGGGAUUGAGGUGCCUUUGAUCUGAAAAGAACACAAAUCCAUUCCACUCCCAGGGGACUCGAGCGCCGACCUUCCCUGUGCGUCAGCUGUGAGACUUCGAGAUUUGGAGAAUUGAGAGCGAGAUUGCCGACUCGGGUUCCAGUAUGAGCUCAUCCAGUGUUGCAGAGUGCCGAUGUCCCUACCAUGCCCCUUGUACACAUGAGGAAGUGAGGUGCAGAGAGGUUGAGGAAUUAGCCUGAAGUCAUGCACAGCUUGGAAGCGAUAAAGGCUCCCAGUAUCACCUGCUGACCACAGGACCAAACACAGAGAGACAUUCACUAUGUCCUUAAAAAUGCAGGCGCCUGACAACGGGGAGAGAUGAUGCCGAGACCAGAUAUGGUUGUGUGCUUUCUCCUACAUACCAGCUUCGUCGGUGUUUGUGGAAGGAAUGCAGGAUAGCACUGCUAAUACUCUCGGGGUGAACUGAUUUGAACCGUACACUGGAGCCCUCCUGCACAGUCCUCGGGCUGCCUCCUACACCUGGCAGAAGCAUCAGGACACCUGCAUGCAGCGUGUGGCGUGCAUGUGUGUGUGCCCAUGCACGCGCGACGUGUGCACCACUUCUGUGUGUGCGGCCUGACAUUAAACAAAACAUCCUCCCAUGGAUGAGCUGAGACAGCUGGCUUCUGGAGCUAGUUCUCCAUCACAGACCAAAGGCAGGACGAAUGGCAGCGAACAGCUGGGUGACAGCACUCGGUAUCUUCCUCCCUGUAGUUUGGUCCCUGGCCGCGGUGGCUUCUGUCUUCCAGCAGCGUGUCCAGUACUUCGGAAACGUUCUCUUCCUGCACAUCAGAAUAGUCGAAUGCCAUCCCAGAUUGACUAAAGACGGAAUAACGGGCUCCCAGUCCUCAGCCCCAAGGAGAGGACCGCCCAGGAGCCACUGAAGGCUGAGUGCACCGAGGCGAGAGCCUCCUUGUGACUGGGACGGGAGCCCAGCUCUGGGCUGGCAAAGGUGCAGGCAGCCAGCGAGGACUAGAGGUGGAGAGCCUGGUCCCUCUGUCUGUCCACGGCGUAGAGCGAGGCCUGGAACAGAGUGCUCCGCAGAUGUUUGCUGGCAGGGACAUCCGAACCUGCUUAGAAAGAGGAAAAGAGACACAGAAAGAGGGAGAGAGAGACAUCGAUCUGUCUUUCUAUAGAUACCUGCACUGGGGAGCAAACCCACAACCAAGGACCUCCGGUCUUGUCUCCUGGGUCAUGGUGCCUGGUGGUCUUAUUUCGGAGCUCUCGGAAUUGUGCUGGAUUUUCCCUCCUUGGGUUUUAGUUGGAGACGUCUGGUUGGACCUCCCGGGCUGAGCGCUCCAUGAACACGGUCCCUGUUCGAUCUUCUCUGCGGAGACACGAUUCCCACGGGGCCCGUCGCGAAGACCCUCAGCGCCGAGCCUGACUCCGCUCAAAUGA